This is a long non-coding RNA of Mytilus californianus (California mussel), 1342 nucleotides long. RefSeq lists it as uncharacterized. NCBI's taxonomy places the organism in Eukaryota, Metazoa, Mollusca, Bivalvia, Mytilida, Mytilidae. The transcript is spliced from 3 exons. The record is from RefSeq and is a predicted model, not a curated record.
AGCUCCAGAUAAGCUGCGUAUUUGCGUGAUCACGCAAUACAAAUGAUUAAAAACCCAAUGCAAUUGCCCAUUGCAGGGUUCAAUAACCCAAUUAAUUCAAAGGAAAACCCAAUUAUAUGCCAAAACCAUGAGUUCUUAACGCUUUUAUUCGCUAUCGUUUGCGUUAUUUACCCUUAUCUUAUUACAAUCGUCGCGUAAAUCUAUUUUUAUAAUAUUUAUAAUUGGAAAUUUCCUUUCGUUCUAAAAAUAGAGCCCUGCAUCAAGUAGCUGAAAUGGGUCCCUGUUGGAAUUUUCCGUUGCUCGAAAGGUACACGUGUUUAAGAAAACAUUUCGAUCUUCUCGGAGUUUAUCCAAUUAGCGUUUGUCAUGUUUUCAUAUUUUUUUCGAAUUGCUCGGGACUUAUCGUAACAUACAAUGAAUUAAAACGAAAGUAAAUGGCCGGUAAAAAUAUUGAAUAGAAGCAUGUUUUUAGCUUCUUUUUGAUAGCUGAGGACAAGUUAUGAUGAUAACAAGACUCAUCUAGUGUUUUAUGAAGCGUCCGUCGAACGCACGGGCAUGUUUGCGUACCUUAACGAGAACAUUGCUAGAACGAUAAACACGGGGUUUCUUCAAGAACGAAAUCAGUUGGAAAAAGUGAAAGGCCAAAUUAAUUAUGACAUGAUAUGUAGUUGGAAAGCAUCGGAAACCAAAAGUUCUAAUAAGGGGCAACUUAACCCAGAUUUAUGAAAUUUCUAUUAGUAAAUGAAUCAAAUGAAGAAUCUUCAUGGUUAAAUGCAUAGAAAGGAUAUUUGAAGAGAGCCAAUGAUUGACAUAAGGAGAAGCAGUUAUGAAUUUUGAAAUUGAUAUAAAGGAGAGGUCAUUCAUCACAGAAGAUUUAAUCAAAGUUUACAGUAUGUUGAGAGAAGUUCAGAACAAGCAAUUGGGUUGAAGAGGAGUUGUCAACACGUCAUCUUUGAACAAGGUCAAUUGUAUUAGAAGUGAAUCCUUAACAGAAAUGAGACAAUAAUCAAAUAAUUCAAAGACUACAUGGAUGUUAUCUGGACUAGCAUUUGUAUGACCUAAAUGUGGUAUUUUUCAUAUGAACACUUACAAGGCAGAUAAUAGUCUGUGACAAACAUUUGUAUGCAAUUAAAAACUUAAAGAACUUGUACGGUAUUCUUCAGAUUUCAGUAGAAUUUGUUUAAAACGGUACAUUCUUGGUAUGAAUUGAAGAAUUUUUGCUCAUUUAAAUGAAUUAUGAAAAUGUUUUAUAUGUUUAGAAUAAACAAAAACAACAUAAAAGAUAGACAAAUUUUUAUUUUCUUUCUUGAAACUUAUAACAGAAUAAAUUGUCAUAUGCUAA